GGGAGAUGCAGGAAGAUUCGGGGAAUGCUACCAUUUCCAUGAAAAAUGGCCGAUGUUAGCAAGCUGGAGGAUAAGAUACCAUGGGGAGGAGAAGCAAGGUGCCCCUGUUGACAGCCCCAGAAGCAGAAGCUCAUCCCCAGAAGCACAGCUGCCUAUUCAACAAACAGCUGAAGAUACAUGUCUGGAGGAGCUCAGCUGAGACAAAAAGAACAGCCUCACUGAGCCCAGCCUAAAUAGCUGACCAUCUCAAUUAUGGGCAAAUAAGUUUUGAAUGAUUUGUUAUGCUGCAAUAGCUAAUUAAUACAUGCACCCAGUGCAGACAGGAUGCCAGGAUUCAUUGACAAGUUGAUUACUAGUUCUCUUCUAACAGUGGGCACCCUAUAGGUACUGAUUUUUCCCCCUGAUUUGAAGUUGGAUGCCAAGUAAGAGAAUGCUGAGUAAUGCAGAAAUAUAUAUGGAUAUGUAUGCAUGUAAUUGGUGCCUAUACUCACACAGUCCCCCAUACCACAGGAGAAAACAGAUAACCACGGCCUGACAUUAGGGCCAAGGACAAAUAGAAAAGUAAGUUUGCCUUUAAUCUGUUUUCUUCAUAUCUAAACAUUGGAGGUCAAGACUGUGCACAGGUUUGAAGACAUAGAGAUUUCUUCUCCUGUGGCCUUAUCAUCCUUUGUUCACCUUCUGAUCUCUGGAAGAAAGGUGGAAAAUGGGUGGCCAGCAGUGGUCUACCUGUGGUUGUUUUUUUCUUGCUGUCCUCUGAUUUUUCUAUGGCUACUAUCUGUUCCUCCCUCAGAGCUGAAGAGAAAUGUUGGUAGGGAAAGGCUCUUUUUUCAGCUUUGGCAGAAAAGUUUUUUCAGGCCCUUCGCUCCCGAGGUCAGAGCUGCACUUCAAUGUGGCAGCUACUGGCCAUGUGUGGCGACUGAGUGCCUGGAAUGUGGCUGGUCUAAACUGUGAUAUGCUGGAAAGGUAAAAUACAGAGUUAGUUUCAAAGAUGAAGUUCCAAAAAAUAUCUACACUUCAUUUAUAAUUUACAUUUUGCUUACAUAUUAAAAUGAUAAUAUUUUGGAUAUACUGGUUUAAUUAAAUUGCUACAAU
Molecule: long non-coding RNA, 1092 nt
Filed under: Homo sapiens (human)
Lineage: Eukaryota; Metazoa; Chordata; Mammalia; Primates; Hominidae
Description: HSALNT0257284
Source: RNAcentral